UGGGGAAUUUUGGACAAUGGGCGCAAGCCUGAUCCAGCCAUACCGCGUGAGUGAAGAAGGCCUUCGGGUUGUAAAGCUCUUUCAGACGGAAAGAAACGGUCGCGGCCAAUACCCGCGACUAAUGACGGUACCGUAAGAAGAAGCACCGGCUAACUACGUGCCAGCAGCCGCGGUAAUACGUAGGGUGCGAGCGUUAAUCGGAAUUACUGGGCGUAAAGCGUGCGCAGGCGGUUUGGUAAGACAGGUGUGAAAUCCCCGGGCUUAACCUGGGAACUGCAUUUGUGACUGCCAGACUAGAGUGUAGCAGAGGGGGUAGAAUUCCACGUGUAGCAGUGAAAUGCGUAGAUAUGUGGAGGAAUACCGAUGGCGAAGGCAGCCCCCUGGGCUAACACUGACGCUCAUGCACGAAAGCGUGGGGAGCAAACAGGAUUAGAUACCCCUGUAGUCCCUGAGCGGGCUGGCAAGGCGCAU
This 471-nucleotide ribosomal RNA is filed under the name uncultured bacterium. RNAcentral describes it as "bacterial SSU rRNA". It matches the Rfam family "Bacterial small subunit ribosomal RNA", at positions 355 to 825 of the family's 1533-position model. The record is from RNAcentral.